CAAGAAGUGUUUUCCGCUUCGGACCAAGCCUAAGUCCCUUGGAAAAGGGCAUCAUAGAGGGUGAUAAUCCCGUACAUGGCUUGGAGCGCCCGAAGCUUUGUGAUACGCUUUCUAAGAGUCGAGUUGUUUGGGAAUGCAGCUCAAAAUGGGUGGUAAAUGCCAUCUAAGGCUAAAUAUUGGGGAGAGACCGAUAGCGAACAAGUACAGUGAUGGAAAGAUGAAAAGAACUUUGAAAAGAGAGUUAAACAGUACGUGAAAUUGCCAAAAGGGAAGGGUAGGAGGUCAGAGAUGCGGCCUGGGAUUCAGCCUUGCUUUUGCUUGGUGUUUUUCCCAGAUUGCAGGCCAACGUCGGUUUUGGGCACUGGAGAAGGGUAGGAGGAACGUGGCACCUCUCGGGGUGUGUUAUAGCCUCCUA
RNAcentral lists this ribosomal RNA (415 nucleotides) under Moesziomyces aphidis. RNAcentral's name for it is "partial large subunit ribosomal RNA". It matches the Rfam family "Eukaryotic large subunit ribosomal RNA", at positions 151 to 568 of the family's 3401-position model. The record is from RNAcentral. Lineage: Eukaryota; Fungi; Basidiomycota; Ustilaginomycetes; Ustilaginales; Ustilaginaceae.